Anguilla rostrata (American eel) is the source of this 1171-nucleotide long non-coding RNA. RefSeq lists it as uncharacterized. Lineage: Eukaryota; Metazoa; Chordata; Actinopteri; Anguilliformes; Anguillidae. The transcript is spliced from 2 exons. The record is from RefSeq and is a predicted model, not a curated record.
UUAACUCAAGUAAAAAUUUGACUAAACAACUUUCACUUGUAGUGAAGUAAUAUUUGACCAGGGGUAUCUGUACUUUGACUCAAGUAAUGGGUUUGUGUACUUUGUCCACCACUGGCGAGGGAUCCCUGCCACUGUGAACACGCGGUGGAAUUGAACUCUCCACCAAAUCAAAGCAGUGCUCUCGUUCAGCCAUCAGGAACUGUGCCAUGUUGUUCAGGGCACAGGCCACAAAGAGCUGGUCUUUUCAGUUAGAGAGUGGAAUCUAAUGAAGGAGCUGUAUGAUGUCCUACAGCCAUUUGCCGAGGCCACUGAUCUCACACAGGGUGAGAAGAUUGUGACAGUCAGUGCCGUUCUCCCCUGUGUGUUAUUCCUAAACCACCAUUUGGAGAAACUAAAACAGCAGGUUUGCUUUCUGGGAAGCAUGGUCAAGAGCCUCCAGGGAUCGCUCAAGAAGAGAUUCUGGGGGAUCUUUGUUAACGUCAGAAUGUCAGCAGCAGCACCAGGAGAAGAAUCACUGCCAUUUGCAGACCCACUCUACAUAAGAGCAGCUGUCCUGGACUCAGCAUUCUCAAUGAUGUGGCUUCACCACGAUGUCCUUGUCAAUGAUGACCCAAAGAAUGAAGUUGCUGACAUGGUGAAAGAUUUGAUUUUACGUGAGGUGCCAUCUGACUAAACACUCCCGAGUCCCGAGUCCCAAGAUCUGGAGCAGCAGGUGGAGGAGAGCACUGGGUUAUUCUCAGAAUACAGAAAGCGCCGCAAGCAGGACACAACUAGAAGUCCAGAGACACAGUUGAAUAACUAUCUUGGCCUUUGCAGUGGGCAGGGUUGUCUCUCAUAUUGGGAUGCAAAUAGGAACACCCUCCCUGCACUUUUCCCGGUUGCACUGAGAGUGCUUGCAGUGCCAGCAUCAAGCGCCCCAGUUGAGAGGGUCUUUAGCCAUGGUGGGAUCAUUACGAGGCGACAUCAUGCUCGGCUCGGAGAUAAGACCCUUUCAAAUCUCAUAUUUUGCAAAUGCAACACCUUUUAAAAAGGAAAUGUUUAUGAAUUAUGAAAAGUAACAAAGUUUGAUGUUGUAGUCUGGCUGUCAGUAUUUCACUGUUUAAAAGUGAUGGGGAGUGAAUAUUUUUUUGAUUGAGAAGAAAUUAAGAAAUAAAUAAGCUUUUAUAAAGUU